AGAAGAAUUUGAAAAGUCAGAACAGAGUGGAGACGCAUGCUUGGUGGAAUGAUCACAGCAGAACUGAGGGAAAGAGGUUGAAUGCAUUUUGAAAAACUAUUUGCAAAUUGGAUUGACACCUGAAACUAACACAACAUGAGCACAGGCUCCAGACGUGCAGGCUCAGUGGCCAUGGCUCACGGGCCCAGCCGCUCCGCGGCAUAUGGGAUCCUCCCGGACCGGGGCACGAACCCGUGUCCCCUGCAUCGGCAGGCAGACUCUCAACCCCUGCGCCACCAGGGAAGCCCCAUUGGCUGUGGUGCAAGCUCUGGGCUGUGGACUGGGAUCAGCAGGAACAGGGAACAAGUGAGACCAGAAUGGAACCCAACACAGGGCCCAGAGCACCAUGGCCAAGUGGGAGAUGGCGCUGAGCACACCAUGGGGAAAGAUAAGAAAGCAUCGCCUUCCAAGUACAGCACUGAAUUAGAAGACCCUGUUUCCACUUUUGGUCUUAUUUUGACCUUGUAAUAUCCUAGGGCUGAUGACAUAAUCUUUCUGGGCUUUAGUUUCCUCAGUGGAGACAUCAUUAUUAAUUACUUUAUGGAAUUACUAUGUCAGUUAGUAACACAGUAAUAAUCU
Molecule: long non-coding RNA, 618 nt
Organism: Mesoplodon densirostris (Blainville's beaked whale)
Lineage: Eukaryota; Metazoa; Chordata; Mammalia; Artiodactyla; Ziphiidae
Exons: 5
Source: RefSeq, a predicted model, not a curated record